RNAcentral lists this ribosomal RNA (431 nucleotides) under uncultured archaeon. RNAcentral's name for it is "bacterial SSU rRNA". It matches the Rfam family "Archaeal small subunit ribosomal RNA", at positions 50 to 456 of the family's 1478-position model. The record is from RNAcentral.
CCUGCGAGUCGAACAUUUCUUAACUAUGUAAGAAGUGUGGCAUACGGCUCAGUAACACGUGGUCAACCUACCCUAAAGACAUGGAUAACCCCGGGAAACUGGGAUUAAUAUAUGAUAGGUCAUUUUUCCUGGAAUCGGUUUAUGACUUAAAGGAUUGUUGAGCAAGUUUGAUUAAUUGCUUUAGGAUGGGACUGCGACCGAUCAGGUUGUUGGUGGGGUAAUGGCCUACCAAGCCGAUUACCGGUGCGGGCUUUGAGAGAAGGAGCCUGGAGAUGGACACUGAGAAAAGGGUCUAGGCCCUACGGGGCGCAGCAGGCGCGAAAACUUUGCAAUGUGCGAAAGCACGACAAGGUUAAUCCGAGUGCAACAUGCUGAAUGUAGCUUUUGGUAAAUGUAAAUAUUUUAUUGAAUAAGGGGAGGGAAAGUCUGGU